RNAcentral lists this ribosomal RNA (253 nucleotides) under uncultured bacterium. RNAcentral describes it as "partial 16S ribosomal RNA". It matches the Rfam family "Bacterial small subunit ribosomal RNA", at positions 524 to 776 of the family's 1533-position model. The record is from RNAcentral.
UACGUAGGGGGCGAGCGUUGUCCGGAAUUACUGGGCGUAAAGGGCGUCUAGGCGGCACGACACGUCGGGAGUGAAAAUCGCAGGCUCAACCUGCGACGCGCUUGCGAAACGGUCGAGCUAGAGGGCCGGAGAGGGAAGCGGAAUUGCCGGUGUAGCGGUGAAAUGCGUAGAUAUCGGCAGGAACACCAGUGGCGAAGGCGGCUUCCUGGACGGUACCUGACGCUGAAGCGCGAAAGCGUGGGGAGCGAACGGG